AUGGGUCUGGACGUAGGAGAGAUCGGCAUGGGCGCAGAUUUGAGCCUGGAUUUGAAGAUGUUCGCGGCCAAGAGCCUGGGGCGGGUCAGGGAAGCGCCGGCGGCCGCCAUGGACGACUGUAUCCGGAGGCUGGAGGAGGAGAAGAGCAAGAUCGAGGUGUUCCGGCGCGAGCUCCCCCUCUGCGCGCGCCUCCUCGCCGACGUGAUUGAUGUGAUGAAGAAGGAGGUGGAGGAGAAGAAGAGAGGCGGCGAUCGAGGAGAGGACAGGGAGGACGCCGGCGCAGGCGACAAGAGCAACUGGAUGAGCACCGCGCAGCUCUGGACCGGCGAUUCCGUCCGGGGGGACGAUGCUUCCGAGAAGCAGGAUGAGAGGAGGAGGUCGUCGGAGCCGGAAUCUCGCGACGGCGCUGGCUUGCCGUCCAAGGCCGUGGGCUCCGGCGCGCCGGCGUUCGCGCCGCCGAGUUUGAGGAAGGAUGACAAGGCUGUGCGGAUGCCGGAUCUGCCGUUUCUGUCGCCGGCACCGAUCAAGACCUCUCCGGCUGCUGCUACCGGCGGCGCUGAAGAAAGCCGCCGCCAGCUUGUUGGAUUCGCGCAAGAAGCGGCGAGGGCUGCAGCCGCCCUGGCACCGGCUGCCCCUUCCCUAAGCCUCCAGGCGCAGUCGCAGCAGACAGCACAGCAGCAGCAGCAGCAAGCGAGGAAGGCGCGGCGGUGCUGGUCGCCGGAGCUGCACCUCCAGUUCGUCACUGCCCUGCACCAACUCGGUGGUCCCCAAGUUGCUACUCCAAAGCAAAUCAGGGAGCUGAUGAAGGUGGAUGGCCUGACCAAUGAUGAAGUGAAGAGCCAUCUCCAGAAAUACCGUCUGCACAACCGAAGGGCGCCAGGAUCUCCGGCAGCCAACCGGCCGAUCGUGCUCAUGGGAGGGCUCUGGAUAACUCAGGAGCAGAGCAGCUCCCAGUCAGGGGGAUCACCUCCGGGGCCCCUAAACUUCUCAAGCUCAGGCGUAGCUGCCUCAUCGGUGACGGUCAGCGGCGAGGAGGAAGAUGGCAGAUCCGAGAGCUAUGGCUGGAAAUGA
RNAcentral lists this ribosomal RNA (1071 nucleotides) under Triticum aestivum (bread wheat). RNAcentral describes it as "partial small subunit ribosomal RNA". The record is from RNAcentral. Lineage: Eukaryota; Viridiplantae; Streptophyta; Magnoliopsida; Poales; Poaceae.